GCCGAGCCAGGAGCUUUAUUUAGCUGCUCUGAAAUCCCGCAGACCUGGACAGUACUCGUGAGCUGGUGUCCUUUCUGUGGAAGAGGACAAAAGCUCGUGAGCAGGCUCUGCCCCUCCGGGAAGACGGCCA
RNAcentral lists this small RNA (130 nucleotides) under Nannospalax galili (Upper Galilee mountains blind mole rat). Its description in RNAcentral is "sRNA (ENSNGAG00000001966.1)". The record is from RNAcentral. Lineage: Eukaryota; Metazoa; Chordata; Mammalia; Rodentia; Spalacidae.